Molecule: ribosomal RNA, 367 nt
Filed under: uncultured eukaryote
Lineage: Eukaryota
Description: SSU rRNA
Rfam family: Eukaryotic small subunit ribosomal RNA
Source: RNAcentral
AGCUCCAAUAGCGUAUAUUAAAGUUGUUGCAGUUAAAACGCUCGUAGUUGAAUCUCAACUAGACAGGUUUCUAUUGCAGCUUACUUUUCGUAAGUUGUUAUAAUAGAACUAGUUUAGUUUUUGCAUGUUUGUUUCGACAGAUAUGCCUUUUACUUUGAGUAAAUUAGAGUGUUUCAAGCAAGCUUUUGCGUUGAAUACUGUAGCAUGGAAUAAUAAGAUAAGACUUUGGUUUUAUGUUGUUGGUUUAAAAACUAAAGUAAUAAUUAAUAGGGACAGUUGGGGGUAUUUGUACUUACCUGUCAGAGGUGAAAUUCUAUGAUUAGGUGAGGACAGACAACUGCGAAAGCAUUUACCAAAGAUGUUUUCA